GAUGAACGCUGGCGGCGUGCCUAAUACAUGCAAGUCGAGCGAACAGACGAGGAGCUUGCUCCUCUGACGUUAGCGGCGGACGGGUGAGUAACACGUGGAUAACCUACCUAUAAGACUGGGAUAACUUCGGGAAACCGGAGCUAAUACCGGAUAAUAUAUUGAACCGCAUGGUUCAAUAGUGAAAGACGGUUUUGCUGUCACUUAUAGAUGGAUCCGCGCCGCAUUAGCUAGUUGGUAAGGUAACGGCUUACCAAGGCGACGAUGCGUAGCCGACCUGAGAGGGUGAUCGGCCACACUGAAACUGAGACACGGUCCAGACUCCUACGGGAGGCAGCAGUAGGGAAUCUUCCGCAAGGGGCGAAAGCCUGACGGAGCAACGCCGCGUGAGUGAUGAAGGUCUUCGGAUCGUAAACUCUGUUAUUAGGGAAGAACAAAUGUGUAAGUAACUAUGCACGUCUUGACGGUACCUAAUCAGAAAGCCACGGCUAACUACGUG
Molecule: ribosomal RNA, 496 nt
Filed under: uncultured bacterium
Lineage: Bacteria
Description: partial 16S ribosomal RNA
Rfam family: Bacterial small subunit ribosomal RNA
Source: RNAcentral